UACGGAGGGUGCGAGCGUUGUCCGGAAUCACUGGGCGUAAAGGGCGCGUAGGUGGCCCCUUAAGUGUGUGGUGAAAGCCCGGGGCUCAACCCCGGGUCGGCCAUGCAAACUGGGGGGCUGGAGCACUGUAGAGGCAGGCGGAAUUCCGGGUGUAGCGGUGGAAUGCGUAGAGAUCCGGAAGAACAUCGGUGGCGAAGGCGCUCUGCUGGACCAUAACUGACACUCAGGGACGAAAGCUAGGGGAGCGAAUGGG
This 253-nucleotide ribosomal RNA is filed under the name uncultured bacterium. RNAcentral describes it as "partial 16S ribosomal RNA". It matches the Rfam family "Bacterial small subunit ribosomal RNA", at positions 524 to 776 of the family's 1533-position model. The record is from RNAcentral.